RNAcentral lists this ribosomal RNA (593 nucleotides) under Naganishia albida. RNAcentral describes it as "partial large subunit ribosomal RNA". It matches the Rfam family "Eukaryotic large subunit ribosomal RNA", at positions 67 to 668 of the family's 3401-position model. Lineage: Eukaryota; Fungi; Basidiomycota; Tremellomycetes; Filobasidiales; Filobasidiaceae. The record is from RNAcentral.
CCCGGAGAUGGCCUAGUACGGCGAGUGAAGCGGGAGAGCUCAAAUUUGAAAUCUGGUAGCCUUCGGUUGCCCGAGUUGUAAUCUAGAGAAGUGUUUUCCGUGCCGGCCCAUGUACAAGUCCCUUGGAACAGGGCGUCAUAGAGGGUGAGAAUCCCGUCCUUGACAUGGACCCCCGGUGCUUUGUGAUACACUUUCAACGAGUCGAGUUGUUUGGGAAUGCAGCUCAAAAUGGGUGGUGAAUUCCAUCUAAAGCUAAAUAUUGGCGAGAGACCGAUAGCGAACAAGUACCGUGAGGGAAAGAUGAAAAGCACUUUGGAAAGAGAGUUAAACAGUACGUGAAAUUGUUGAAAGGGAAACGAUUGAAGUCAGUCAUGCUCUUGGGACUUACCUCCCUUGAGUGGGGUCAACAUCAGUUUUGAUCGAUGGAUAAAGGCACGGGGAAGGUAGCACUCUCGGGUGAACUUAUAGCCUCGCGUCAUAUACAUUGAUUGGGACUGAGGAACGCAGCAUGCCUUAUGGCCGGGAUUCGUCCACGUACAUGCUUAGGAUGUUGACAUAAUGGCUUUAAACGACCCGUCUUGAAACACGGACCA